UACGUAGGUGGCAAGCGUUGUCCGGAUUUACUGGGUGUAAAGGGCGUGUAGGCGGAGCAGCAAGUCAGAAGUGAAAUCUCCGGGCUUAACCCGGAAACUGCUUUUGAAACUGUUGCCCUUGAGUAUCGGAGAGGCAGGCGGAAUUCCUAGUGUAGCGGUGAAAUGCGUAGAUAUUAGGAGGAACACCAGUGGCGAAGGCGGCCUGCUGGACGACAACUGACGCUGAGGCGCGAAAGCGUGGGGAG
RNAcentral lists this ribosomal RNA (245 nucleotides) under uncultured Sporobacter sp. Its description in RNAcentral is "partial 16S ribosomal RNA". It matches the Rfam family "Bacterial small subunit ribosomal RNA", at positions 524 to 768 of the family's 1533-position model. The record is from RNAcentral. Lineage: Bacteria; Bacillati; Bacillota; Clostridia; Eubacteriales; Oscillospiraceae.